This 205-nucleotide long non-coding RNA is filed under the name Bos taurus (domestic cattle). RNAcentral's name for it is "long non-coding RNA NONBTAT004889". Lineage: Eukaryota; Metazoa; Chordata; Mammalia; Artiodactyla; Bovidae. The record is from RNAcentral.
CGGCGACCCCGAGCCCGGUCCGGCCAGUUCAGCACACGCUUCCUACUGAGCGCAAGUCGAGGGGUGGCCUGUGAACUUCGCUAGUAAAUAGAAAACGUUUAAAGCUUGGUUGUCCUUAUUUGGGCAAGUUUAAGUGAAUAAUGAUAAAGACACACUUCUAAUGUCAAAAUCAGUACUUUAAAAAGUUCGUGUUAACUACACCUCC